CUCUGGGCUGAGAGCGGUGGCCUCCUGAGGUGUAGUGAAGGUGGGCCGCUUGCUAAUGGGUCCGGAGGAUCUACACCACAUGACCUGAUUUUUGCUUCCUAACAUGGGCUCUGAUUCCUGACCAGAAACCCAAGUUCCUUGACCUCAAGGAUGCCUGAGAAGAUGGUCAACCUGGCUGGGUGUUUUUAAAGCGUGAAAUGAAAAUAAAAGAUACGAAGGAUAGCUGCUGGCUCCACGUGCCCGAUGGCCUUGGUCGCCUCACCCUGUGCUCGCUCUUCUCCUGCUGUCCCAGUGUGGCUGACAAGCCAGAGCCAAAUGCAUUCACAAAGUGUGGACGAGACUCCCCGUGAUCAUGGCUGUCUUUGGUUUUGGUUUGGUUUGGUUGUUGAACUGGCAAGUGCCGAUACGACCGAGGGCUCCGGCACUCCAAUGCAUUCACCUGGUGGCACAUUGGCCGGGUCCCUACCUGUGACUGCACGUUGGCUCCAACCUGGGCCCCUUGGUAAGAGUCCCCAUUGAGUGACUGCACGCCCAUGAACAAAUCUCCAGAGUUUGACAUGUUAAAAGAACUGGAAGAACCUGGAAAGGAAAGAGUGAGGCACCUGAAUCACAGAAAGGAAAAGGGUCACAAUCCCUGCAACUAACAGCCAAGAGGAAGAACGACAUGCAAAGCGACCCCUCCCCCAAAUAAACACUAAAAUAAAAAUAUCAACAGAAUCUGGUUAGUAGCAUGAAGAACAG
Long non-coding RNA from Suricata suricatta (meerkat), 741 nucleotides. RefSeq lists it as uncharacterized. The record is from RefSeq and is a predicted model, not a curated record. NCBI's taxonomy places the organism in Eukaryota, Metazoa, Chordata, Mammalia, Carnivora, Herpestidae. The transcript has 3 exons.